This 587-nucleotide ribosomal RNA is filed under the name uncultured Paracoccaceae bacterium. RNAcentral's name for it is "bacterial SSU rRNA". It matches the Rfam family "Bacterial small subunit ribosomal RNA", at positions 9 to 644 of the family's 1533-position model. Lineage: Bacteria; Pseudomonadati; Pseudomonadota; Alphaproteobacteria; Rhodobacterales; Paracoccaceae. The record is from RNAcentral.
GAGUUUGAUCCUGGCUCAGAACGAACGCUGGCGGCAGGCUUAACAUAUGCAAGUCGAGCGGACCUUCGGGUUAGCGGCGGACGGGUGAGUAACGCGUGGGAAUGUGCCUCUGGGUACGGAACAACCGCUGGAAACGGCGGCUAAUACCGUAUGACGUCUUCGGACCAAAGAUUUAUCGCCCAGAGAUCGGCCCGCGUUGGAUUAGGUAGUUGGUGGGGUAACGGCCCACCAAGCCGACGAUCCAUAGCUGGUUUGAGAGGAUGAUCAGCCACACUGGGACUGAGACACGGCCCAGACUCCUACGGGAGGCAGCAGUGGGGAAUCUUGGACAAUGGGGGCAACCCUGAUCCAGCCAUGCCGCGUGAGCGAUGACGGCCUUAGGGUUGUAAAGCUCUUUCACCGGUGACGAUAAUGACGGUAGCCGGAGAAGAAGCCCCGGCUAACUCCGUGCCAGCAGCCGCGGUAAUACGGAGGGGGCUAGCGUUGUUCGGAAUUACUGGGCGUAAAGCGCGCGUAGGCGGACUUUUAAGUCGGGGGUGAAAUCCCGGGGCUCAACCCUGGAACUGCCUUCGAUACUGGAAGUCUUG